CCAGGAUGUUUAUUUUCCAUAAGACUCUUACAAGUUUAAUCUCCUCACUGGAAUUUGGUUUGUCUAGUGAAUGUAAAUUCCCUCCCACUGGCACCUGCUAGCUGCUAACAAGAGUGAAGGCACACAUAUGGGAGUUGCUUGCCUGAGGCCAGGGUGCUGGAGCUGAACCAGGAGCCAGGAGUUUAAGGAGACUGUUGGCCUCGUUCUCCCAGCACUUGCAAACAUCUCAGCUUCUGGACUGCUUUUCCAUUGCACCUCAGAAAGGAAUCUUUCACUUUCCAAGACUGAUUUCUCCGUGGGGGUCACCUGAAGUCCCAGGGCUUUAUCCAGCAGAGAAAUGCAGACAGGCAACUUCAUGUGCAGCUGUGUGACCGCUGGUUUCAAGGAGCACUGCAGAUGUAUUUGCAUUUAUGCCACUGCAGGAUCAGUUCAUGGUCGUUUAUUUUACUUAGGUGUGCUUGCAACAAAGCAAGGAUGGAAAGUGUUUUAUUUUAUGUGGAAAAGAAAAUGGGAGGAGAAGAGGAAAAAUGAUGCAGUCAUCAGAAAAUUAUUUGAAACAAUAACAAAGUGUUAAUAGUCUAAUGAAGAGGAGAGAUGGAACACAAACCUACAAAGCUUGUUGUAUGGUUGUAUUUUGUUUAAUAAGAGAAUAUAUUUUUAAGUGAA
Molecule: long non-coding RNA, 666 nt
Organism: Neopsephotus bourkii (Bourke's parrot)
Lineage: Eukaryota; Metazoa; Chordata; Aves; Psittaciformes; Psittacidae
Exons: 3
Source: RefSeq, a predicted model, not a curated record